This 497-nucleotide ribosomal RNA is filed under the name uncultured bacterium. RNAcentral's name for it is "partial 16S ribosomal RNA". It matches the Rfam family "Bacterial small subunit ribosomal RNA", at positions 28 to 507 of the family's 1533-position model. The record is from RNAcentral.
GAUGAACGCUGGCGGCGUGCCUAAUACAUGCAAGUCGAGCGAACGGACGAGAAGCUUGCUUCUCUGAUGUUAGCGGCGGACGGGUGAGUAACACGUGGAUAACCUACCUAUAAGACUGGGAUAACUUCGGGAAACCGGAGCUAAUACCGGAUGAUAUUUUGAACCGCAUGGUUCAAAAGUGAAAGACGGUCUUGCUGUCACUUAUAGAUGGAUCCGCGCUGCAUUAGCUAGUUGGUAAGGUAACGGCUUACCAAGGCAACGAUGCAUAGCCGACCUGAGAGGGUGAUCGGCCACCCUAGAAGUGAGCCACGGUCCAGAGGCCUACGGGAGGCAGCAGUAGGGAAUCUUACGCAAUGGGCGAAAGCCUGACGGAGCAACGCCGCGUGAGUUAUGAAAGUCUUGGGAUCGUAAAACUCUGUUAUUAGGGAAGAACAUAUGUGUAAGUAACUGUGCACAUCGUGACGGUACCUAAUCAGAAAGCCACGGCUAACUACGUG